RNAcentral lists this ribosomal RNA (484 nucleotides) under uncultured bacterium. RNAcentral's name for it is "partial 16S ribosomal RNA". It matches the Rfam family "Bacterial small subunit ribosomal RNA", at positions 30 to 507 of the family's 1533-position model. The record is from RNAcentral.
AUCGAACGCUGGCGGCAGGCCUAACACAUGCAAGUCGAGCGGUUGAAGGGAGCUUGCUCCCGGAUUCAGAGGCGAACGGGUGAGUAAUUCCUAGGAAUCUGCCUGGUAGUGGGGGAUAACGUCCGGAAACGGGAGCUAAUAUCGCAUACCUCCUGAGCGAUAAAGAUGGGGAUUUUCGUACAUCACGCUAUCAGAAUCACCUAGGUCGGAUUAGGUGGUUGGUGGGGUAAAGGCCUACCAAGGGGACGACCCGUAACUGGUCUGAGAGGAUGAUCAGUAACACUGGAACUGAGACACGGUCCAGACUCCAACGGAAGGCAGAGGUGGGGAAUAUUGGACAAUGGGCGAAAGCCUGCUCCAGCCAGGCCGCGUAUGUGAGGAAGGUCUUCGGAUGGUAAAGUACGUUAAGUUGGGAGGAAGGGCAGUAAGUUAGUACCUUGCUGUUUUGACGUUACCAACAGAAUAAGCACCGGCUAACUUCGUG